UAUGGCGGCUUUCCUGAAUCUAGCCGCUCGGCGAAGUUUGAAGCUCAGGCACUGUUCUUGUUCUCAGUACCGGCAGCUGUCGCUGAAGGAACCCGUUACAUAGCGCCAAGCCUCAGCUGUUCCCCAUAGCCUCUCCGUGCCUUCAAAGCCAGCGACAUGUGGAACACGCUGCUUUCACGGGACAAAGUUUGUCUGCCAGCACAAGGUUCAGAUACUGCCCAGACCCUGAGGACGCCGUCUCCUGUCCACCCGGCUUCCUUACUCUUUCCUCGGAAGUAUCCUCCGCUGUGCCUCCAGUUUGGCAUAACCCAGACAACACAUUUUUUCCCUUGCCCUUCAUUUGAUAGCUGCUUGCCUUGGGUUUUUUUUUUUUUUCUUCUGAAACUCUAAACAAUCUUCUGUGCAUAAAC
Long non-coding RNA from Apodemus sylvaticus (European woodmouse), 410 nucleotides. RefSeq lists it as uncharacterized. The record is from RefSeq and is a predicted model, not a curated record. NCBI's taxonomy places the organism in Eukaryota, Metazoa, Chordata, Mammalia, Rodentia, Muridae. The transcript is spliced from 3 exons.